GCAGUCGGACGGGAUCCGUCGGAGAGCUUGCUCGAAGACGGUGAGAGUGGCGCACGGGUGCGUAACGCGUGAGCAACCUACCUCUAUCAGGGGGAUAGCCUCUCGAAAGAGAGAUUAACACCGCAUAAUAUAUCUGACCGGCAUCGGUUAGCUAUUAAAUAUUUAUAGGAUAGAGAUGGGCUCGCGUGACAUUAGCUAGUUGGUAGGGUAACGGCUUACCAAGGCGACGAUGUCUAGGGGCUCUGAGAGGAGAAUCCCCCACACUGGUACUGAGACACGGACCAGACUCCUACGGGAGGCAGCAGUAAGGAAUAUUGGUCAAUGGGCGGAAGCCUGAACCAGCCAUGCCGCGUGCAGGAUGACUGCCCUAUGGGUUGUAAACUGCUUUUGUCCAGGAAUAAACCUUUCUACGUGUAGGGAGCUGAAUGUACUGGAAGAAUAAGGAUCGGCUAACUCCGUGCCAGCAGCCGCGGUAAUACGGAGGAUCCGAGCGUUAUCCGGAUUUAUUGGGUUUAAAGGGUGCGUAGGCGGCCUAUUAAGUCAGGGGUGAAAUACGGUGGCUCAACCAUCGCAGUGCCUUUGAUACUGAUGGGCUUGAAUCCAUUUGAAGUGGGCGGAAUAAGACAAGUAGCGGUGAAAUGCAUAGAUAUGUCUUAGAACUCCGAUUGCGAAGGCAGCUCACUAAGCUGGUAUUGACGCUGAUGCACG
Molecule: ribosomal RNA, 708 nt
Filed under: Sphingobacterium siyangense
Lineage: Bacteria; Pseudomonadati; Bacteroidota; Sphingobacteriia; Sphingobacteriales; Sphingobacteriaceae
Description: bacterial SSU rRNA
Rfam family: Bacterial small subunit ribosomal RNA
Source: RNAcentral